CCUACGUGUGGCAGCAGUGGGGAAUAUUGGACAAUGGGCGAAAGCCUGAUCCAGCCAUGCCGCGUGUGUGAAGAAGGCCUUCGGGUUGUAAAGCACUUUCAGUGGGGAAGAAAGCCUUGGGGCUAAUACCCUCGAGGAAGGACAUCACCCACAGAAGAAGCACCGGCUAACUCCGUGCCAGCAGCCGCGGUAAUACGGAGGGUGCGAGCGUUAAUCGGAAUUACUGGGCGUAAAGCGCGCGUAGGCGGUCUGAUAAGCCGGUUGUGAAAGCCCCGGGCUCAACCUGGGAACGGCAUCCGGAACUGUCAGUCUAGAGUGCAGGAGAGGAAGGUAGAAUUCCCGGUGUAGCGGUGAAAUGCGUAGAGAUCGGGAGGAAUACCAGUGGCGAAGGCGGCCUUCUGGACUGACACUGACGCUGAGGUGCGAAAGCGUGGGUAGCAAACAGGAUUAGAUACCGAGUAGUC
RNAcentral lists this ribosomal RNA (464 nucleotides) under Vreelandella stevensii. RNAcentral's name for it is "partial 16S ribosomal RNA". It matches the Rfam family "Bacterial small subunit ribosomal RNA", at positions 338 to 795 of the family's 1533-position model. Lineage: Bacteria; Pseudomonadati; Pseudomonadota; Gammaproteobacteria; Oceanospirillales; Halomonadaceae. The record is from RNAcentral.